This 460-nucleotide ribosomal RNA is filed under the name uncultured bacterium. Its description in RNAcentral is "partial 16S ribosomal RNA". It matches the Rfam family "Bacterial small subunit ribosomal RNA", at positions 338 to 795 of the family's 1533-position model. The record is from RNAcentral.
CCUACGGGUGGCAGCAGUGAGGAAUAUUGGUCAAUGGCCGAGAGGCUGAACCAGCCAAGUCGCGUGAGGGAAGACGGCCCUACGGGUUGUAAACCUCUUUUGUUGGGGAGCAAAGCGAGUCACGUGUGACUCAUUGAGAGUACCCGCAGAAAAAGCAUCGGCUAACUCCGUGCCAGCAGCCGCGGUAAUACGGAAGGUCCGGGCGUUAUCCGGAUUUAUUGGGUUUAAAGGGAGCGUAGGCGGCAUGGCAAGCGUGCUGUGAAAUGUCCGGGCUCAACCCGGGCCUUGCAGCGCGAACUGGCAUGCUUGAGUCCGCGGAAAGCAUGCGGAAUUCGUCGUGUAGCGGUGAAAUGCUUAGAUAUGACGAAGAACCCCGAUUGCGAAGGCAGCUUGCUGCAGCGGAACUGACGCUGAUGCUCGAAAGCGCGGGUAUCGAACAGGAUGAGAUACCCUAGUAGUC